This 382-nucleotide ribosomal RNA is filed under the name uncultured eukaryote. RNAcentral describes it as "partial 18S ribosomal RNA". It matches the Rfam family "Eukaryotic small subunit ribosomal RNA", at positions 592 to 976 of the family's 1831-position model. The record is from RNAcentral.
UGUAAGCGUAUACCAAAGUUGUUGCAGCUAAAACGCUCGUAGUCGGAAUUUGGCAGUUCCGGAUGUGUGCACGUCGUGUGCGCACUUCGCGGGGAUUGCUUUUGUGGUCUUGCGUAGGAUGAGGCACUUUUAUUAGUGAACGUCCUCACGCAACCACUUUUUACUGUGAGAAAAUCAGAGUGCUCAAAGCAGGCACUUGCCGUGAAUGUAUUAGCAUGGAAUAAUAGAAUAGGACUUGGUUCUAUUUUGUUGGUUUGUUGGGACUGAGUAAUGAUUAAGAGGGACAGUUGGGGGCAUUUGUAUUUCGGUGCUAGAGGUGAAAUUCUUAGAUUACCGAAAGACAAACUGCUGCGAAAGCGUCUGCCAAGGAUGUUUUCAUUGA